UUACGGUCAAAUCACGCUGAAAACACCGGUUCGCGUUCGAUCACCGAAGUUAAGCAUCGUAGAGCCAGGUCAGUACUUAGAUGGGGGACCGCUUGGGAACACCUGGUACUGUAAG
Non-coding RNA from Acanthosepion pharaonis, 115 nucleotides. Lineage: Eukaryota; Metazoa; Mollusca; Cephalopoda; Sepiida; Sepiidae. The record is from the annotation of a GenBank genome assembly.